RNAcentral lists this ribosomal RNA (1327 nucleotides) under Staphylococcus pseudoxylosus. RNAcentral describes it as "bacterial SSU rRNA". It matches the Rfam family "Bacterial small subunit ribosomal RNA", at positions 99 to 1412 of the family's 1533-position model. Lineage: Bacteria; Bacillati; Bacillota; Bacilli; Caryophanales; Staphylococcaceae. The record is from RNAcentral.
CGGACGGGUGAGUAACACGUGGGUAACCUACCUAUAAGACUGGGAUAACUUCGGGAAACCGGAGCUAAUACCGGAUAACAUUUGGAACCGCAUGGUUCUAAAGUGAAAGAUGGUUUUGCUAUCACUUAUAGAUGGACCCGCGCCGUAUUAGCUAGUUGGUAAGGUAACGGCUUACCAAGGCGACGAUACGUAGCCGACCUGAGAGGGUGAUCGGCCACACUGGAACUGAGACACGGUCCAGACUCCUACGGGAGGCAGCAGUAGGGAAUCUUCCGCAAUGGGCGAAAGCCUGACGGAGCAACGCCGCGUGAGUGAUGAAGGGUUUCGGCUCGUAAAACUCUGUUAUUAGGGAAGAACAAAUGUGUAAGUAACUGUGCACGUCUUGACGGUACCUAAUCAGAAAGCCACGGCUAACUACGUGCCAGCAGCCGCGGUAAUACGUAGGUGGCAAGCGUUAUCCGGAAUUAUUGGGCGUAAAGCGCGCGUAGGCGGUUUCUUAAGUCUGAUGUGAAAGCCCACGGCUCAACCGUGGAGGGUCAUUGGAAACUGGGAAACUUGAGUGCAGAAGAGGAAAGUGGAAUUCCAUGUGUAGCGGUGAAAUGCGCAGAGAUAUGGAGGAACACCAGUGGCGAAGGCGACUUUCUGGUCUGUAACUGACGCUGAUGUGCGAAAGCGUGGGGAUCAAACAGGAUUAGAUACCCUGGUAGUCCACGCCGUAAACGAUGAGUGCUAAGUGUUAGGGGGUUUCCGCCCCUUAGUGCUGCAGCUAACGCAUUAAGCACUCCGCCUGGGGAGUACGACCGCAAGGUUGAAACUCAAAGGAAUUGACGGGGACCCGCACAAGCGGUGGAGCAUGUGGUUUAAUUCGAAGCAACGCGAAGAACCUUACCAAAUCUUGACAUCCUUUGAAAACUCUAGAGAUAGAGCUUUCCCCUUCGGGGGACAAAGUGACAGGUGGUGCAUGGUUGUCGUCAGCUCGUGUCGUGAGAUGUUGGGUUAAGUCCCGCAACGAGCGCAACCCUUAAGCUUAGUUGCCAUCAUUAAGUUGGGCACUCUAGGUUGACUGCCGGUGACAAACCGGAGGAAGGUGGGGAUGACGUCAAAUCAUCAUGCCCCUUAUGAUUUGGGCUACACACGUGCUACAAUGGACAAUACAAAGGGCAGCUAAACCGCGAGGUCAUGCAAAUCCCAUAAAGUUGUUCUCAGUUCGGAUUGUAGUCUGCAACUCGACUACAUGAAGCUGGAAUCGCUAGUAAUCGUAGAUCAGCAUGCUACGGUGAAUACGUUCCCGGGUCUUGUACACACCGCCCGUCACACCACGAGAGUU